GAUGAACGCUGACAGAAUGCUUAACACAUGCAAGUCUUUGGCGAAGCUGUGCUUGCACAGCCUAGCCAAGGCGGACGGGUGAGUAACGCGUAAGGAACUUGCCCUGCAGUCAGGGAUAACAGACGGAAACGACUGAUAAGACCUGGUAAAGUCAGGCGGACUCAUGUCCAGCCUGAUGAAAAGAGAUGCUGCAGGAGAGCCUUGCGUCCUAUUAGCUUGUUGGUGGGGUAACGGCCCACCAAGGCGAUGAUAGGUAGCCGGCCUGAGAGGGUGGACGGCCACAAGGGGACUGAGAUACGGCCCUUACUCCUACGGGAGGCAGCAGUGGGGAAUAUUGGACAAUGGGGGCAACGCUGAUACAGCAAUUCUGUGUGCACGAUGAAGGUUUUCGGAUGGUAAAGGGCUUUCAGCAGGGAAGAAAAAAAUGACGGUACCUGCAGAAGAAGCGACGGCUAAAUACGUG
This 463-nucleotide ribosomal RNA is filed under the name uncultured bacterium. Its description in RNAcentral is "partial 16S ribosomal RNA". It matches the Rfam family "Bacterial small subunit ribosomal RNA", at positions 28 to 507 of the family's 1533-position model. The record is from RNAcentral.